RNAcentral lists this long non-coding RNA (2177 nucleotides) under Canis lupus familiaris (dog). RNAcentral's name for it is "lncRNA (ENSCAFG00845015649.1)". The record is from RNAcentral. Lineage: Eukaryota; Metazoa; Chordata; Mammalia; Carnivora; Canidae.
AGGCGGGCGCGGAGCUGCGCGGAGUGACAAAGCCGCCGCGGCCGCCGCUGGGGGUGGGAGCCGCGCUCGCCCGCCCCUCGACUCGGGAGAGCGUAAAAGUUUGUCUCAGCUCCAGCAUCCCGAUCCUCAACACGCCCUCAGUACAGAGGCAGGCAGUCGAGGGCAGAGGAAGCGGCAGAGGAGAGGGAGCCCAGGAGAGGAGAGAGGCCGUGGAGGGGGACGGAGCCGAGGAAGAGGAGGCGGAGGCGAGCGCCCGGGAACCCGAGGCCCCCCGGACGCCCUCGGACCCCGCACCGUGCGCCCUGGGCACCCGAAGCCACGCCGGGCCGAGUCCUUCCCACCCAGACAGGGAUGGAGAAACGGAAAUACCACCACCCUCCAGCCAAACCUGGGAGGACUGAUUGCAGGGGAGCUGCUGCUCCAGAUGUUGCACUAGAGGCGCUGCGAGUGUGAGCAGGUGGCAGUGGGCAACAUCAUGGGUUGUAGCAGAUGUUCUCAACAUUUCUUUUGAAACUUCUUUAUAUUGCCUUGCAAGAGGAGCCCUAGAGCCUCAUCCCUGGGGUAGCUACUAUGCUCUGAUGUAAGCUGUUGUCCACCAGGGAGCUUUGGCAAGAGAAUUGGCCAGAUCACCAACUUCAUCUCCACUGUAGAAAAACAACUUGAAGCUCAUCUCUGUUGAAGGCUAUUUCUUUUGCUGUAAGAGAGGCAUACAACAACUCAUUUACAAGCCGAGCUAAAGAAGAGAAAAAAAACAAAGCAUGAUGCAACCAGAGAGAAGGAUCCUGCCUGCUUCGGUAGCCCUGUCCAAAGCAGAUAUACUGUCUGUAGGACAGGGGUAGACUGAAUACCUGCUUCACUGAAUACCUGCUUCACAGCACCUUUCACAUUUUCUUGUUGGAAAGACAACCGUUGGAGAAUCAUCUUGUUACCAUCAGCAAAAAUGCAAACAAAUCAAGACAUUAAGAAUGCCACAGUGGCCAGCAGUUAAUGAUGCCAGUGUUACACAAGCUUCAGCAAAGUUUUCAAGACAGUGUGCCUCACUAGCCAGGAAUCAGGGAAGAUUGAACCUAUCCUUUUUGUCUCAGCUGUUCCUCAAAUCAGUGCAACCCCUCCAAAUUAAUGUGAAUUGAAACAUGCAUUGCCUUUUCAACUUAAUUGAGUACUUACUAUGGGUGAAUCACUGCACAAAAUAGGGGAGGGAAAAUGAGGGAGACAAGUAAGAUGUGUUUCCUGCCUUCAAUGGAUUUACAAUUAGUUUCAGGGCACUUUUUUUUUUCCCUGCUGCUCUUAAUUAAGUGUGUUUCUAAGAUAGAAAACAAAUGAAUGGAAAAGUGUAUUCUGUAAGUAUUUUAAAUCCCUUUAAUAAAAAACAAAACAAAACAGCCUAAUGUGGGCAACUCAGGACAUCUUAAUUCCAUUUGUUUGGACUUUUGAUAGGUAGGAUUUAUUUUAUUCAUUCUGUAAAUAUUUGGUAGACUUUAGAGAUAUUAACACAUUAGAUUUGGAAUUAAUUGAAUUCAAUUCUCCCCCCACUCCCGAGAUAUAGAUUAUCUGUUGAAAAAUAUAUUGUGUUUGUACAUUUCUUGCAGAGUGGGUAGGUGAAUUACAUCUGUUGUCUCUGUAGGCCUCUACCUUCUGUGCCUUAGGAACCUGACAUCAUGUGAGCUAUUAGCUUCGGGAAAGGGGGAGAUUUAGAUCAAACUUGGGAAUGUUGUUCAUGGACCCAGCAUAGGGUUGGGAUAGGGGCAAAAGAGACCUGGGCAAUGACUCUGUAGGAAACUUUGGCUAUUUUGGUAUUCAUGUGUUGUCCUCUAUGCUACAAAAUUACGUUUUUUUUUUUUUUUUUUUUUUUUUGAAGACUUAUUUCUGAUCUGGGAAUAAGUCAUGAUUCUUCCAGUGUUAAGAUGCUAAUAUGACUGUAGAGAUUAGACAUUUUAUGUGGUGUAUGUAACACAUUUUUGUAUGUAUGAAGCAACAAUAGACAUGUCUUUGUCUUGAGUGGUGUCCAUCUGAAUGGAAAAUGUGCCAGCUUUUUUUUUUUUUUUUUAAACAUCAUCAACAGGCUUCUUAAUUAAGCUGCCACUAUAUACUGCCAAUAGCACUGUGUGGCAUUUGAGAAAUGAAUUGUGAAGUGCCGUUUCCCUCUUAUUGAAUAAACAAUGUUGCUCCAUAUAAAA